UACGGAGGGUGCAAGCGUUAUCCGGAUUCACUGGGUUUAAAGGGUGCGUAGGUGGGUCUGUAAGUCAGUGGUGAAAUCUCCGUGCUUAACAUGGAAACUGCCAUUGAUACUAUAGGUCUUGAGUUUUCUGGAGGUAAGCGGAAUAUGUCAUGUAGCGGUGAAAUGCUUAGAUAUGACAUAGAACACCAAGUGCGAAGGCAGCUACUACAGGAACAUUGACACUGAGGCGCGAAAGCGUGGGGAUCAAACAGG
Molecule: ribosomal RNA, 252 nt
Filed under: uncultured bacterium
Lineage: Bacteria
Description: partial 16S ribosomal RNA
Rfam family: Bacterial small subunit ribosomal RNA
Source: RNAcentral